This 834-nucleotide long non-coding RNA is filed under the name Homo sapiens (human). Its description in RNAcentral is "novel transcript". The record is from RNAcentral. Lineage: Eukaryota; Metazoa; Chordata; Mammalia; Primates; Hominidae.
GACAGAACUCAAGGUGGAAGUACCGGAGUACCUGGGGCCGCUGAUGUUUGUGAAACUGCGCAAACGUCACUUCCUUCAGGUUCUGCAGCUGGAUCUCCGUGUAGGGCCCCGGAGCCGGGGACGAGGUCAGGUUCCCUUGUUACCGCUGGGUGGAGGUCGACGGCGUCCUGAGCCUGCCUGAAGGCACCAGGGCGAGAAGAGGCGCUCACCAAAAGUCACUGGCCAAGCCCUCCUCUGGCCUUCUAGGCCGUACUGUGGGCGACGACCCUCGAGGCCUGUUCCAGAAACACCAGGAAGAGGAGCUGGAAGAGAGAAGGAAGUUGUACCGGUGAGCCCUCCUCCCCUGACCCCACGUGAGCUGCUGAUGCUUCCAGCACCCACGCCUGAUUUCCUUCCUGCCCUACAGAGCGCGUGCGGGACUCCUGGAAGGAAGAUGCCUUAUUUGGGUACCAGUUUCUUAAUGGCGCCAACCCCGUGGUGCUGAGGCGCUCUGCUCACCUUCCUGCUCGCCUAGUGUUCCCUCCAGGCAUGGAGGAACUGCAGGCCCAGCUGGAGAAGGAGCUGGAGGGAGGCACAUUGUUCGAAGCUGACUUCUCCCUGCUGGAUGGGAUCAAGGCCAACGUCAGUCUCUGUAGCCAGCAGCACCUGGCUGCCCCUCUGGUCAUGCUGAAACUGCAGCCUGAUGGGAAACUCUUGCCCAUGGUCAUCCAGCUCCAGCUGCCCAGCACAGGAUCCCCACCACCUCCCCUUUUCCUGCCCACGGAUCCCCCAGUGGUCUGGCUUCUGGCCCAAUGCUGGGUGCGCAGCUCUGACUUCCAGCUCCGUGAGCUGCAG